RNAcentral lists this signal recognition particle RNA (99 nucleotides) under Candidatus Babelota bacterium. RNAcentral describes it as "signal recognition particle sRNA small type". It matches the Rfam family "Bacterial small signal recognition particle RNA". Rfam says of the family: The signal recognition particle (SRP) is a universally conserved ribonucleoprotein involved in the co-translational targeting of proteins to membranes. The record is from RNAcentral.
UUGGGGAAAGCGCGAUAAAUAUCUAUUCGUGUAAUCUGUCAGGUCCGAAAGGAAGCAGCAGGCAUGAGUGUGGUAUUGUAUUGCGCUUUUCCCGUAUGU